UUUGUAUAAUGGGUCAGCGACUUAUAUUCAGUGGCAAGGUUAACCAUCUAGGGGAGCCGUAGGGAAACCGAGUCUUAACUGGGCGUUCAGUCUCUGGAUAUAGACCCGAAACCAGGUGAUCUAGCCAUGGGCAGGUUGAAGGUUGAGUAACAUCAACUGGAGGACCGAACCGACUAAUGUUGAAAAAUUAGCGGAUGACUUGUGGCUAGGGGUGAAAGGCCAAUCAAACCUGGAGAUAGCUGGUUCUCCCCGAAAGCUAUUUAGGUAGCGCCUCGGACGAAUACUACUGGGGGUAGAGCACUGUUAAGGCUAGGGGGUCAUCCCGACUUACCAACCCUUUGCAAACUCCGAAUACCAGUAAGUACUAUCCGGGAGACACACGGCGGGUGCUAACGUCCGUCGUGGAGAGGGAAACAACCCAGACCGCCAGCUAAGGUCCCAAAUUACUACUAAGUGGGAAACGAUGUGGGAAGGCUCAGACAGCCAGGAUGUUGGCUUAGAAGCAGCCAUCAUUUAAAGAAAGCGUAAUAGCUCACUGGUCGAGUCGGCCUGCGCGGAAGAUGUAACGGGGCUAAGUAGUAAACCGAAGCUGCGGCAAUAUACUUUUGUAUAUUGGGUAGGGGAGCGUUCUGUAAGCGGUUGAAGGUGUGUGGUAACGCAUGCUGGACGUAUCAGAAGUGCGAAUGCUGACAUGAGUAACGAUAAAGGGGGUGAAAAACCUCCUCGCCGGAAGACCAAGGGUUCCUGUCCAACGUUAAUCGGGGCAGGGUAAGUCGACCCCUAAGGCGAGGCCGAAAGGCGUAGUCGAUGGGAAACGGGUUAAUAUUCCCGUACUUCUUACAAUUGCGAUGGGGGGACGGAGAAGGCUAGGUGGGCCUGGCGACGGUUGUCCAGGUUCAAGUGCGUAGGCUUAAGAGUUAGGUAAAUCCGGCUCUUUUUAAGGCUGAGACACGACGUCGAGCACCUACGGGUGUGAAGUCAUUGAUGCCAUGCUUCCAGGAAAAGCCUCUAAGCUUCAGAUUGUAAGGAAUCGUACCCCAAACCGACACAGGUGGUCGGGUAGAGAAUACCAAGGCGCUUGAGAGAACUCGGGUGAAGGAACUAGGCAAAAUGGUACCGUAACUUCGGGAGAAGGUACGCUCUUGAUGGUGAAGUCCCUUGCGGAUGGAGCUGACGAGAGUCGCAGAUACCAGGUGGCUGCAACUGUUUAUUAAAAACACAGCACUGUGCAAAAUCGUAAGAUGACGUAUACGGUGUGACGCCUGCCCGGUGCCGGAAGGUUAAUUGAUGGGGUUAGACUUCGGUCGAAGCUCUUGAUCGAAGCCCCGGUAAACGGCGGCCGUAACUAUAACGGUCCUAAGGUAGCGAAAUUCCUUGUCGGGUAAGUUCCGACCUGCACGAAUGGCGUAAUGAUGGCCACGCUGUCUCCACCCGAGACUCAGUGAAAUUGAAAUCGCUGUGAAGAUGCAGUGUACCCGCGGCUAGACGGAAAGACCCCGUGAACCUUUACUACAGCUUGGCACUGAACAUUGACCCUACAUGUGUAGGAU
This 1550-nucleotide ribosomal RNA is filed under the name Vibrio parahaemolyticus. RNAcentral's name for it is "partial 23S ribosomal RNA". It matches the Rfam family "Bacterial large subunit ribosomal RNA", at positions 607 to 2144 of the family's 2925-position model. Lineage: Bacteria; Pseudomonadati; Pseudomonadota; Gammaproteobacteria; Vibrionales; Vibrionaceae. The record is from RNAcentral.